AUGCAUUUCCUGUGGACUCUUUGAUACUUCAAGCCCCUCUCGCAUUAGCAUUCUGAAGAAAAAAAAACUUACUUUAGUAGGGUAAGGCGUUCACUUUCCACAAAUGAAUGGAAUUUGGACAUUGUUUUACUUAAGCUUAAAGCAGCUUUUUAUGAGUUUGUAGCAAUCCGGUGCGGUAUCUGAGCCAUUCUUGUUGAAAAUGGCUUCUGUAGAAAACUAACAACUCAGUUAUUUAAACUAGCAGGAUCCUACGAUGAUACAUCUAGUGAAAGGAAGACUAACUUAUUUGUCUCUAUUUUGUUUCACGAGAGAAGAACUUUUGUCUUGUUGCAGCUGCUUUUUCUUUAGUUGUGGAACUUUGCAUGGAGUCUUGUUUCCUGUUGGAAGACUGAGAGGUGGAGAUUUGGACUUGAGGCUUUUACAGGGUUAACACACCAUUAGCUUUGCACUGCUGUUAUUUGCAGGUCUGUGGGGCAGUGCUUUGCUGCAGCUUUUGGUUUCCAUUCCCCCCAGUUGAUGCUUUAGUACUGUAGAUACACAUACACAGGCUACUUGUCCAAGUAAAGUCAUCAGAAGUAAAUCAAGUGCCUAAGUCCUCCAGCUAAUGUACUAGGUAUUGAUUUCCCCAAGCUAUACAUGAAACAAUUUUCAACGAUUUUGAGAGGUUAUGCACUAAUAUAACAGCAAUUUUGGGGUUUCUUCUUUUUCGUUUUUUCAUUAAUAGUUCUCAACUUGGAGAUUAUAGGAUCCAGAUGACUUGGCAAAAAGUAUCAGGUGCUCUUGGCUUUCCUUUGAAAACCCUGUAUCUAGUGUUUGCACUGACUAACAAGAUGGUAUUGCUGUUUUUUGUACUGUUUUGUUUUAAUUUAAACUAAAUAUUGGGAAUUUAAGGUGGUUGUAAUUACCUUUGUUAAAUGUUGUUAAUCAUAAUCUUGUAUUCAGGUUUAAUUUUUGUUUAUUCAGUGGCAACUUAUUUUCAAAGACCUUGAAAAUACAAUGAGAUAGCAUUAUCUGACCUUCAGAGUGCUGAAAACUGUAUGAAUUUAUGCCCUGUUAAGAGGUGACUGAGAAUCAUGUUAGACAUGUCAACUGAAAAUUGGUUUUCAUAAAUACACAUGAACUAGAGCCCUGGGCAUAUUUUGAGAAGCUUAAAAAUCCACUUUUUUUCUUUUAAGAAAGCAGGACUCUCCUUCCUGAUGAUUACUAUCUUCUUGUUUGUCCUCUUACUUUUCUUUGUGACAAGUUUUACAUUUUUUUAUGUUUUUAUUAACUUCUGUGAAGUUGUUUACUCUGAAAAUUGUACUGGAAUAUUUUAAGCCAAGCUGAUCUUUCACCAGGUGUACUGCAUGUAAGGGCUUUUCCUGCUAGCAAAAUGCUUAAAGAGGAUCAUGUUACUGGUCGUCUGAGUUGUUAUUUUACAAAAUCACAGCUAUGUGGUCGGGUAAGAUUUUGAUAACUGUUUUGUGCACGCUUCUGGGGGGUGGGGGUUGGCAUUUCCCUGAGGGUUACUGAUUAGACUAAGUAAAUAUUGGUGUUUGAUAUCUCUCCUAAUGAAGCUGUCCAUUAAAUAAUUAUGUUGUAAAUAUACCUGCAAAUCCAAGGGUUAGUUUUGAUAUUCUGGUGUCAGUAUGGAAGAUCUUACACAUCUAUUUAAUACUCCAAUGUCAAGGAAUGUAUGUAGAAAAACAGUCAAGUAGUCUUUUCUUAGUUUCCUUUGGCUGUUGCUGUACCUUCUCCAGCCAGUGCCACCUCACUCUAGGGUUAGACUGAUGCUUCUUUCACUCGCUACGUGAAGUGAAUGGAUACAAGAACCAGACCACCUUUGUCACCUUAACUUAUUUCCUAUUGAUGUUAACUUUAACUUAGAAUGUUAGACAUAAAUAUGAUUGUUGUAUAUUUUAUACCAAGACCAUUCUGUAAAUAUGAAUUUAUAUUACUUUUGAAAUGCUUCUGAGAUACUAUUAUUUGCUGUACAAUGUAAUUCCAAAACAGAUAUGCAAACAAGUAUGUCUCUUUCAUGGAUAUUUAAACAGUGAGAUCUUCCAUGUUGAAGGUGAUGUAAUUUUUUUAAAAGAUUUUUAAAUUUUAAAUUGCUAUUUUGUUACAAAAAUAGAGAAAAUAUAAAGGUUUGAGAAGUCCUUAUUUGCCCUCAGGGAAAGAGCCCUCUGUGCACCAGAACUCCACAGAACAUCUUCAGCAUGAUCUGAGGGUGAAUAUAUACUACAUAAAUUGAUUGUGUAUCUACCUUAACCUUUUAAUUUUAAAAUGGCAAUUUUAAAAACUUGGUUGUGCUCUGCUGGAGGGGGUUGGGAUAAGCUGCUUACACACAUUUGCCUGUUUGUCCAGUGAAAUGACAUAAGCCUGACAUAUUCCUGCCAAGGUCUUGGCAUAUUUAAGAACAAAUGUAUCUCUAGACUCUUGUCUGCAGCAGGAGGUCCCGUGAUAGAGCAGUUCUCUAGGGUUGACCGUACACUUCUUAUGGAAAGUUGGUUCUUAACUGAGGCUAGAGUUUUCUAGUUGAAUUUUUAACCUAUAUUGACAGGCAAAAUAAUUAUUUGGGGGUUUAACAGCAUGCUGGCUUUGUCUUACGGUUUUAACACUGACUGUGUGGUUUUUGCCAUGAAACUAAUGCCCUCCAGUGCCCUGACAGGGAGAAGCAGCUGCAGGUGGGAAUGCCUGGCUCUGGCUUCCUUCUUUGUUGAAGUUUCAGCCCUUGACCCUUUACAAACAAGUAUGUAUUCAUUUGUUAGUUGUAAAUCAGGUGCCUUUGGGCUAUGGAAGGGCUUAUUUUCUGACACUGAGAGAGUGACUUACCUUUGUGUGUCAAUAGCAGUGAUGCCCAUUUAGGUUUUGGCCUAAUUUACUGUGCUGUCAGAAAAGAAGGCCCAGAGCAGAUCGGGGAAAGAGAUUGGCUCUUUUGCUUUGCUUGGACAAGCAUUUUGGGUUGGUUUGGUUUGGUUAAUUUUAAUUUUUUUUUCCCCACUAGGGGUACAGCAGGGAUUUCACAUGCAAGAGAGACAGGAAUUAUUAGUAUCUAAGUUAAUAGUGUUGCCUCACUACCUGGAUUCAUUCCUUGGUUUGCCUCAUUUCCCACAUAGGUCUUAAUAGAGACUAAUGCUUGUGCUGGGAGAAUGCUUGUGUGAGAAAGUAACUAUCUGUACAUUCUUAACAUAUACUUAGAGCAGAGUGAUUGCCCUGCUACUGAUAUUUUGUUCCUGUAAACAGGUGACAAGAAAUGAAUCUUAGUGUUUAUGCAGAUUUUGCAUUGUAGAAUGUAUACUAGACCCUUCAAAGGCAAGGUUAGACUCUUUGCAAAGCAAACUGGCGUUGGUUCUUGGUAGUCUAGUACAGGGACACUAAAGUUUGACAUUUGAUUUAGGAAAAAGAAAACAGUUGUACACAGCUGAUUAUGUUAAAUAAGCUCUUAAUUAAGCUCUUUGUAGAAGUCUUAAUUUGGAAGGUUUUAGUGCUUUGGUAACUCAAUUGAAAUUUUAAUUUUUCCUGUACUCAAGAGCUGAAUGCUGUUCUUGUAUAAUAGUGUACUAGGCUGGAUGAGGUACAAAAUAAUGCACAGUGGUCAGAAACAGCUGAGGAAAGAACGCUUAAAAUAACUCAAUCUAAACUCAGAAUAGUUCCAAACAUUGGUUUUGUUUGCUUUUUUAAAGCACAAGUUGUCAAGUUGUACCUGUUGCUGUACAUAAACACUGUAUGCCAGCAGCUCCUUGAUCAUGUUUGUGAACAGACUUUUCAUUAAUUAUUAGACUGGUAUUAAAGGAAGGUGUUGAAUUUGAGAGUGUAACAAAAUGAGAAGUGAUCAGAUGAUCUAUAGGAUGUAAAAGUCAAUUUUUAUGUUGUAGUUUAAUCCCUUUAUUAGGAAGUUCCCUCUCAUUGAGGGACCUCUUCUGCAAGCAGAACACAAUAAAUGUGCUUUUUUAAAUGACCCAAUUUCCCAGUAUAAAUGAGCAGCUGACUUUGGCAGUAGUCAUCUCCCUGCAUCUCUCUGCUGGCAAGGGAGCAGGACAAGGAGGGGAAACAACCCCUAAAACUGUCACUGAUGAGAUGAAACAGAUUUCAAUAAUCAAAGUGCCCAAUGCCCAAACAUAAUUCUACACCCCAUUCUUUAAGGAUGCUUGUGGAAGCUUUUAGUCACUCAAGAUUUUGCUGUAAAAGCUGAAAUAAAGCAGAGCCUGGCUGCGUUUCUUACUGCCAAAAGCCAAGGUCAUUUGCACAUAGCCCAUGGAUUUCUCCAGAGUAGAUCUCCGUUACCCAAGGCAUGGGAAUGCAUGCGUUUUCUUAGCUGGGCAAACAAGUACAUUAUACAGUAGUUGUGAUACAACACACGUGGCUUUGAUUUGUACUGCACAUACCCACUGUACAGCCACUCCGAAGUAUUGUGGUUAGCUUGCAGCAUCUGCUGUCGCAUUGAUACUGUUUACUGCGUAUUCUUUUCCCUGGAAGUUUUAAAGAAAAUUUUUUUUUCUUGUUGCAUUGAUUACAUUUUAUAAAUUUGCUUAGCUGGAAAGUUUGGGAAAAGAGGCCUGUUUGUCAAUUGUACAACCGAUUGUGAAGCUCUAGUGUGAAUAUUUUUACGUCUGUAUUAGACAUUUUCUUUGCAAAUCUAUUGUUCGAUUGAAAUGUAAAUGAAAUAAAAGAUGGUGUACACCCAUCAUGUAUAAAGCAGGCACCAUCGCUACGAUGGAUUUAAUGCUCAUUUUUAUGGCGCAUUCUCAGCUUCUAUUUAAAACUAUAAUUUAAAGAAAAAAAAAAUCUGUAAAAUGAAAUGGGGAUAUAUGGGGGAGUAAAUUCUAUUCCGUUUAUUUCGGUUUUGAUUCCCAAUGGUAAUGUUUCCCUUCGUGUUAGAGUAGGGGGGCCCCGGCGGGGCCCGUGUGUCGCUGUAGCACUGACGUGCAGAGGUUGUAGCUUUGGCUGGGCACGGAUAGAGCAUCCCGGUUCGGUGUUUGAGAGACUCGAUGGAAGAAGUUUGCAGUAUUGACAUGUAUUUGCAUGCACGAAUAAAAAUUAUUUGUCCACCU
This is a long non-coding RNA of Ficedula albicollis (Collared flycatcher), 5033 nucleotides long. RefSeq lists it as uncharacterized. The record is from RefSeq and is a predicted model, not a curated record. The transcript has 2 exons. Lineage: Eukaryota; Metazoa; Chordata; Aves; Passeriformes; Muscicapidae.